This 253-nucleotide ribosomal RNA is filed under the name uncultured bacterium. RNAcentral describes it as "partial 16S ribosomal RNA". It matches the Rfam family "Bacterial small subunit ribosomal RNA", at positions 524 to 776 of the family's 1533-position model. The record is from RNAcentral.
UACGGGGGGGGCAAGCGUUGUUCGGAAUUACUGGGCGUAAAGGGCUCGUAGGCGGCCAACUAAGUCAGACGUGAAAUCCCUCGGCUUAACCGGGGAACUGCGUCUGAUACUGGAUGGCUUGAAUCCGGGAGAGGGAUGCAGAAUUCCAGGUGUAGCGGUGAAAUGCGUAGAUAUCGGGAGGAACACCAAUUGCGAAGGCAGCUCGCUGGGACGUCACUGACGCUGAGACGCGAAAGCGUGGGGAGCAAACAGG